UGGGGAAUAUUGGACAAUGGGGGAAACCCUGAUCCAGCGACGCCGCGUGUAGGGAUAGAAGGCCUGCGGGUUGUAAAGCAUCUUUUAGUAGAGAAUAAGCGAAAGUGAAGGUACCUGCAGAAGAAGCACCGGCUAACUAUGUG
This 143-nucleotide ribosomal RNA is filed under the name uncultured bacterium. RNAcentral's name for it is "partial 16S ribosomal RNA". It matches the Rfam family "Bacterial small subunit ribosomal RNA", at positions 355 to 507 of the family's 1533-position model. The record is from RNAcentral.